CAGCAGUGGGGAAUAUUGCACAAUGGGGGAAACCCUGAUGCAGCCAUGCCGCGUGUGUGAAGAAGGCCUUCGGGUUGUAAAGCACUUUCAGUAGGAGGAAGGUAGUGUAGUUAACACCUGCAUUAUUUGACGUUACCUACAGAAGAAGCACCGGCUAACUCCGUGCCAGCAGCCGCGGUAAUACGGAGGGUGCGAGCGUUAAUCGGAAUUACUGGGCGUAAAGCGCAUGCAGGCGGCCUGUUAAGUCAGAUGUGAAAGCCCGGGGCUUAACCUCGGAAUUGCAUUUGAAACUGGCAGGCUAGAGUCUUGUAGAGGGGGGUAGGAAUUUCAGGUGUAGCGGUGAAAUGCGUAGAGAUCUGAAGGAAUACCAGUGGCGAAGGCGGCCCCCCUGGACAAAGACUGACGCUCAGAUGCGAAAGCGUGGGGAGCAAACAGGAUUAGAUACCCCUGGUAG
RNAcentral lists this ribosomal RNA (454 nucleotides) under uncultured bacterium. RNAcentral describes it as "bacterial SSU rRNA". It matches the Rfam family "Bacterial small subunit ribosomal RNA", at positions 349 to 793 of the family's 1533-position model. The record is from RNAcentral.